Molecule: unclassified non-coding RNA, 795 nt
Filed under: Pectinophora gossypiella (pink bollworm)
Lineage: Eukaryota; Metazoa; Arthropoda; Insecta; Lepidoptera; Gelechiidae
Description: uncharacterized LOC126381034
Source: RNAcentral
AAGGAAAUGCUACGUCGGAUAUUGGGAAAAGCGUCAUUAUCAUGGAUAGAGCUGACCACCCUGCUAUGUGAAUGGACUAUCCACGGCAGAGACACCUGAUUUAGACGUAAUCGAUGCUCACAAUAUGAACAUCAGAUUGCGCUACCUGCAGACCCUGCGGACGGAGUUUCGACAGAGAUUUAGAAAUGAAUAUAUUUCGUUACUUAUUAGCAAGAACAAAGGUAAGUCGAAAUUCCCGUCGGUAGGCGACGUUGUCUUGAUACAGACUGAUGCAGGUCGUCUCUAUUGGCCUCUUGGCAUAAUAAAAGAAUUGGUUACAGGUAACGACGGCAUAACAAGAGUCGCGAAAGUACAGACUGCGAUGGGAGAGAAGAUAAGAAGUUGUCAACGCCUCUACCCAUUAGAAUUGUCGGCAGUCACAGACGAGUGGCAUACACCUACUGUCCCUAAGCAAGGUGAGCCCGACAGUGCUGACUUGCGGGCUGGAUCUAGCUGUGUUCUAGACCCAACUGCAAACUCUCACAUUGACGAGACACCCGCGAUAACAGUGGGUGAUGAGUCACACCCCUCGUCUACCACUACAAGACACGGUAGAGUCGUUAAGCUCCCACGCAGAUUUUUGGACUGAAUAUGUGGUAUGUAGAUCCCUUUCUAAUGUGUAAUAAGCAUAUUGACUUGCCUAUAAAUUUGGUAAAUAACAAAUUUGGUGAAUUUGGACUGUGCCAGUGGUUUUGUUCUUGAAUUGUCUACGUGACGAGUGAAUUUGGAGAAUCUGACAUUUAUAUUAUGUGUAUG